AAAUAAUUAACAUAACUAAUGCACAAAAAUAAUUUCAUAUAAAAAGCAGUCAUUUAUUGCCAAAAAAAUCAUCAGAUCAAAUUUGAAAUUCAAUUUCAUUGCAUUUAAACUUUUUUUUUGUAAAAAAAAAAACAAAAAAAAAAAAUUUCAAAAUGUACUUCACAAAAACUCUUGUUCUUCUUCUUGUCUGUAUAAUUGCUAUGUUUGGCACAACAUUUGCAUGCAAAAAAACCGAUGAAGCCUGCAACAGUGACAAGGAAUGUUGCAGUGGAGGUUGCAGAGCAUAUUUUGGAUCAACAAAAAAAACAUGUUGGGAAAAAAUUCACGGCUGAUUUUAUAUGACACAAUUCGAUCGUUAACGAUAUAUGAUAAGAUGGAUGAAAUAUGAAUAACAAUUAUUUUAUGUAUUUUUUAAUAUAGAAAUAUUUUUUUUAUUAAAAAUAAAGAUAAAAUUUGAACAAAAAAAAAAA
Long non-coding RNA from Leptopilina boulardi, 470 nucleotides. RefSeq lists it as uncharacterized. Lineage: Eukaryota; Metazoa; Arthropoda; Insecta; Hymenoptera; Figitidae. The transcript has 2 exons. The record is from RefSeq and is a predicted model, not a curated record.